Molecule: ribosomal RNA, 254 nt
Filed under: uncultured prokaryote
Description: partial 16S ribosomal RNA
Rfam family: Bacterial small subunit ribosomal RNA
Source: RNAcentral
UACGUAGGGGGCGAGCGUUGUCCGAAGUUACUGGGCGUAAAGCGCGCGUAGGCGGACUCUUAAGUGAGGGGUGAAAGGUUCAGGGCUCAACCCGAACACUGCCUUUCAUACUGGGAGUCUUGAGUGCGGGAGAGGCGAGUGGAAUGGUCGGUGUAGCGGUGAAAUGCGUAGAUAUCGGGAGGAACACCUGUGGCGAAAGCGGCUCACUGGACCACAACUGACGCUGAUGCGCGAAAGCUAGGGGAGCAAACAGG